This 191-nucleotide ribosomal RNA is filed under the name uncultured bacterium. Its description in RNAcentral is "partial 16S ribosomal RNA". It matches the Rfam family "Bacterial small subunit ribosomal RNA", at positions 335 to 524 of the family's 1533-position model. The record is from RNAcentral.
ACUCCUACGGGAGGCAGCAGUGAGGAAUAUUGGUCAAUGGGCGAGAGCCUGAACCAGCCAUGCCGCGUGCAGGAAGACGGUCCUAUGGAUUGUAAACUGCUUUAUUUGGGAAUAAACUCCGGUACGUGUACCGGCCUGAAGGUACCAAAUGAAUAAGCACCGGCUAACUCCGUGCCAGCAGCCGCGGUAAU